GACGUAGGGCGCGAGCGUUGUCCGGAUUUAUUGGGCGUAAAGAGCUCGUAGGCGGCUUGUUGCGUCGACCGUGAAAACCCGGGGCUCAACUUCGGGCUUGCGGUUGAUACGGGCGGGCUGGAGUUCGGUAGGGGAGACUGGAAUUCCUGGUGUAGCGGUGAAAUGCGCAGAUAUCGUAAGGAAGACCAGUGGCGAAGGCGGGUCUCUGGACAGUUCCUGACGCUGAGGCACGAAGGCCAGGGGAGCAAACGGG
Molecule: ribosomal RNA, 253 nt
Filed under: uncultured bacterium
Lineage: Bacteria
Description: partial 16S ribosomal RNA
Rfam family: Bacterial small subunit ribosomal RNA
Source: RNAcentral